This 428-nucleotide long non-coding RNA is filed under the name Ficedula albicollis (Collared flycatcher). RNAcentral's name for it is "lncRNA (ENSFALG00000028189.1)". The record is from RNAcentral. Lineage: Eukaryota; Metazoa; Chordata; Aves; Passeriformes; Muscicapidae.
GUUUGAUUUUAUUUUAUAUCUGUGAUAUAAAUCUUUGAUCCUUAUUUUAGCUUUGUCUGGAAUUCAACUACUAAGGAACACGCUAAAGAUGUCUCUGAUUUUCUGUCAGGACCAGGAUUUUCACAGAAUUCAGUGUAAGUUUCAGAGAGAACUUCCAAAGGGAAGGAAAUCCUUCAAGGAGAAGUGGAAGAGGAUGGAAGCUGGGUCCUUCUUCCCAUUUCCACAUCCAGAGGUGUCCUUGCUCCGGGAUCUGCAGGGGACAAACCCCAGGGAGGGGGAGAGCUGAGCUCCACCUGCACGACAGGUAAUGCCAGGCUGUAGGCAAACAUCAAUAUUUUCUAUAUAAACAGGAAAUUAAAAGGGAAAUCUAAGAACAUGGGGAGCAAAGGCUUGAAAGAUGUCUCAGUGGAAAUUCAGCUCGCCCCAAG